This is a non-coding RNA of Schizosaccharomyces pombe (fission yeast), 313 nucleotides long. Lineage: Eukaryota; Fungi; Ascomycota; Schizosaccharomycetes; Schizosaccharomycetales; Schizosaccharomycetaceae. The record is from the annotation of a GenBank genome assembly.
UAAAAAAUUUAGAAAAUGCUGAUUAUUCAGAAACAACCAAGCAUUUUGCUAAUAAAAGACGCUUGUUUCAACCAUUUAAUGUACUAUGGCAAUCUACGUCUGUUUAAACGAUGAAAAUUACCACUGUUUUACAAAAUUAAAAGAAAGUCCUUCAAUUUAUACAAAAAAUGAAUUCCAAAAACGGUCAAGUUUACAAAUAUGGUACUGCAGUCAUUUGAAAACUAAGCUUGAAUUUUAUGGAAAAUAGCUAUUUGUUGUAAAAUAUGAGAAUAGUUAUUAUAAUAUUAGAAUAUUGUUAUACUAAUGUACCAAU